Molecule: long non-coding RNA, 2822 nt
Organism: Cloeon dipterum
Lineage: Eukaryota; Metazoa; Arthropoda; Insecta; Ephemeroptera; Baetidae
Exons: 3
Source: RefSeq, a predicted model, not a curated record
AAGCAUGAUGGUUGAGACGCGCUGGAUUGCAUCAUCAUUUUUAGCCGAGAAUUUCGCCGUGUUUUCGGUUGCUUUUCGACAAAUAGACAACAUCAACGGGUUUUUGGAUGGAUUGUCGAUGUUCCUGAUGUUCCGAAAGGCUAGCACCGCGUCCCGCCCUGAUUGAUUAUUUUGAUGUCCUCUGGUUGGGAACUUGGGAAUAGCUGCCUAAACGCGAUGGCCAUCCGGAUGACAAGCCUGGACAAGUUAACAAAACUCCGGCCGCAGUAUCCGCAGGGUUUGUCUGCUGUUUUGUUUGCAUUUUCGGCUGACGUGAAAUUGAUGGGACCAUAUGGACCCCAAAGAUGUAAAGCAACGGCCAUGUUUGACAGGAUAAGUGCUGGACGCUGGACGACAUGAGUAGGGAUAUUGAGUGCUUUUCUUUGUAUGUUUUAUGGCGUUUUUUGUGUGUUGAAAUCUUUAAAAUUAAUAUUAACAAGGCUCUAAUUUUCUGCUCAAAUACGUAAAUUCACUUAACAAAUGUUCGCAACAACUGAAUUUAAUUCCAAUAACUAUGUUUUGAUUUUGUGUUUGCGGCAUAUUUUUAUUUUAGGUUUGCAUUCUCUAGAUGAAUAUUUCUAGAUUUCCCUGACAACUAAUUGUAGACACAACUAAUUUUUAAAUUAAUUUCUCUGAUAGUGAUCUCAUAAGUUUAUAAAUAUCAAUUGCAAAAGCCUUAAAUGUUUCAAUUCAAUAACAAUAGAUGGUGCCACUGGUAUACUUCUGAUUUUAAUUCCCUCUCAUUGUGUUUUUUUUAUUAAAGUUAAUACUGCUGCUGUGCCUUCUGGACUUAUACUAUUAAUUUUAAUGUGCUCAAAACCAAAAUCAGUUACGCCGCAAUCACCCUAGAAACAUCAGCACAUUGAAAAAAAUGUAAUUACACUUCGACGAUGAUUGGCUUAUAUGUUUUGGUUUCCAGCACAUCAGAUAUAAUUAUUUAAAGGGUUGAAUGUUGAAUGCACAGCAGCAGGACCGUGUCCUCUAUCUCAGUGAAAUCUUAUUAAAAUCAAAAGAAUACCAAUUAAUGGCAGCCAAGGGGGAAUUCCCAACUGCAGGUUAACUCGUACAAUUAUUAUAAUCAUCCAAUAUUAUUUGUUCUGUUACUGCAUCACCUCAAAAAUCAAUGUUUUUAUGGUUUUAAACGUUUUAACAAUUAAGUCUCAUUAAUUUGUAAGUGUGCAGUUCUCCGCAGUCUAUUGUACGCGAUUUUUUGGUGUUGAAAAAUUGUUGUUAACACUUAAUAAUUUAUUUUUUAAUUGUAACUGCUUAUUCUCUGUUAUUGAAAGGUGGAAUGUAACUUAACUGCAUUAGGUAUAACCUUCGAAUUUUCACUGCCAAACCUAGUUUUCAAUUGUGAACGACUUUUAAUUCGCAGGUCAAAGGUCAUGGUCACCUUUCUUUUUUGAAAAUUCAAUAUUAGGGGAUGAUAGCCCUCUCAGAUUUUUUGGGGUUAGCCCGUGAAAAUCUGCACAAGCACACCCAAGUUUUUGAAGUACCAAAAAUGUUUGCUGUAAUUUGAAAAUGAAAGUUGAAAUACGGCUUGAUGCCGCUCGAUCGAGCAUGCCCGUUAGUCGGCGAGUUUGUCUAUCAUUUGUCAAUAAUAUUUUAAUCCGUUCCAUUUGCUUAGGCACAACAAGAGGACCAAGGAUUGACAUAGUAAGGUCAAAAUUGACCUUCAGGGUCUGAACCUGAUGAGACCCUGAGACCUGAGAUAAUAAUUUCGAAAAUGUCCAAUUUCAUCAAUCAUGGUGUCUUUUUAUAGGUUUUGGCCUCUGUACAGCUAAAAAAUACAGCCUAAACCGCCGAAUGACAAUCCUGAAACCAAUUCUUGAAAUAAUUGUGGUAGCCAUUAAUCCCGACGUGAUGUUAAAAAGUUUUAAAAUUUGAAAUCGGCAGUUUUGACUUUAUAUUUGAGCUGCAGAGCGGUGAUAGCUUAUGGAAAGACACUUAAGUUUGAUGAAAUUGAUUUUUUAAUCUCAGGAUCUCGUCAGGUACAGACCCUGAAGGUUGAUUUUGACCUUGAUAUGUCUACACUGGGCCCUCUUGUUGUGUCUAAUCAAAUGGAAUGGGUAGAAAUAUUAUCAACGAAUGAUGGGCGAACUCGCCGACUAAAGGCCGUGCUCGAUCGAGCGGCAUCGAGCCGGAUUUUAAUUUUCAAAUUCAAAUUACAGCAAAACUACUGUUGCACCUUUGAAACUUGGUGAGCUUGUGUAGAAUUUCAAGGGCUACAUUUCAGCCCUGAACCCCAAAAAGAUCUAAGGGUUGUAUCAUCCCUUGAUUUUGAAUUUUUGAGUAAAGGUUGCAAAAGGUGACCUUGACCUUUUCCCUGCGAAUUUUUUGUAGGUUGAUAAGUUGUUCAUGGUGGAAAACUAGGAUAGAAAAUGAAAAUUUCAAGGUGAUAUCUUAACCCAGUAAAGAGUUACAGUCCACCCUUCAUUCACAUAAUUUGAUUUUCAGGGAUUUUUAAAAAUAGGGAUCUUCAAAUUUGAUGUAUAACAUGUAUUAUUUAAUUGUAAUUUAUUUGUUGUAUGAAUAUCAUCCAAUAAAAGUGCUGCCCAUCUAGCUGCCCACUGAGGGUAACCCCAAGCGGGCACCCAAUGGUUACCUUUUGGCUACCUCUUACCUAGGGCUGUCAUUUUGCGCUACAAAUUUCACUUUUUUAAUGAACAGAGUCAAUCGACCUGCCACCUGAAAGCCCUAGAUAAAAGGUAGCCAAAAGGUAACCAAUGGCUGCCCACUGGUGGUAACCUCAGCCGGGCACCCGAUGGUUAGCUUUUGGUCAA